Molecule: long non-coding RNA, 635 nt
Filed under: Amborella trichopoda
Lineage: Eukaryota; Viridiplantae; Streptophyta; Magnoliopsida; Amborellales; Amborellaceae
Description: long non-coding RNA (ATRI_LNC002291)
Source: RNAcentral
CAAAUACGAAACCGCAUUUCUUUGAAGCCCGCUCCCUUUACUACACAUAUAUACAAAUGCACAUCUUGGCCUUCCAAGGACAGAGAAACCGCACAGGGAAGAGACAGAAGAGAGAGAAAGAAAAGAAAGCAAGUGAAAGAGGAAGUCAUGGAAGACAGAAGAAGGUUGAUGAGAAGUCACAGGUACCGGCCUAUUCCGAAGAGAGGUCAAGUGAAAGCGGCGAUCGUCAUGGGUUUUGCAAACUAUUUGGCCUCUUUCUUUGCUAAUCAGAACGGAAGCCCUUUUACAUCACAAGAUUUGUGACAUUUCAGGAAUUUUUUAGCUCAAUUUCCUAGGCUCAAGAUGUUUAUUCACUGGCCACUCUUUUGGGCCAUUUCUUUUAGGGAUCUCAGUAUUAAGAGAGAGAAGUCUUGGGGCUGUAAUUUUGCUGCCCAUUUUUGUAGCCAAAGGAAAUGGAAGCAUUUUAUGACUUUCCUGAAAUAAGUUUUCUUGUUUCUUGAUUCCAUCUUUUUGUUUGUUAGGUUUGUGAAAUUUUAUUCCAGAAUAUUUGAUUUAGUAAAAUUAGAGAUAAAUUUAAGGAUAAGUUUCACCAAUUUCGUUGAGUUGAGAAGAGUCCUCGAAGAGUGGGAUUUACA